Molecule: non-coding RNA, 45 nt
Filed under: Schistosoma mansoni
Lineage: Eukaryota; Metazoa; Platyhelminthes; Trematoda; Strigeidida; Schistosomatidae
Source: RNAcentral
ACCCAUCAGACGAGUCAAAAAUAGGACGAAACGCGUGUCCUGGAU